AUGUACAUUGUACGUCUCUGGCUGAACGAGAUGGACAGAAUAAUAUCAGAUUUAUUAUAAGGGAACUGGGUAGAACGUCAGAAUAUCCGACGACCGCCAGUUUUGUUCCCACUAUUGAGCAGUAGACAUUCAUGCGUAACUACCACAGUUCGGCAGGCAGAGGUCUCUGGAAAGGUAAAAGUUCGGCAUCUACAACGCGCGUGGAUCGACAGGAAUGAGACCAAGGUCAAGGCCAGCUGGUGCACAGGCGAGAAGUAAACAAACAACAUGGAUGCCACAUGUGAGACUGUGACACUGAAAAAAGUCAAGUAAACGCUUGUUUUAGACUAGUCAUCGGACAGUCAUGAAGUCUAGAGUCUGUGUCAGCCGAUGGAACUUGGGUGGAUGGACGAAGUAUCUGAGCUUGACUGGGUCUCUCUUCUGUGUCCGAGAGUAUAAGUGAUUGGCCAUCAGGACUUGGUUAAGUCACCAGCUGGAACUUCUUUGCAUGGUCAAUGUGAGUUAGAUUGUCUCGGUGAUUGCUGAGUCCAGAUCUUCAGAAGGAAUUGUUGCUGGACAUAGUAUCCAUGCUGGACAAGGUCUGUCUCCAUGUGUCUGAAGCUAAGAGGAACUGGAGGACUACAUUUCAUCAUCAGAGACUCAUUGUUGUAAGACUUCUAGUUAGUACAUUUUGGGAAUUGAGUUGAUCUGCUCCAGAAUUUGACAUUUGUCCCUUUUGCUUUAGAACAUGUUUUGAACUUAAAUGCAUAGUCUCCCUCUAUAGUAGCAGUGGCCAGGUGACCAGUAGUGGACAGUUAAUACAGUUGUAUUCAGAAUCACAAUCACAAUAGUUUGUGUAGAUAUCGAUCAAUAAUGACAGUCAGUAAUGUUUAAGUUAAAAUCUGUGUUAUGGUAAUGAUGUUGGUUUAUUGGGAAAAUUAUUUUUCAUACCAAUGGUUGAUAGAGUGAAUAAUAUGUUGUUGUAUAUUGAUGUCUUCCUCAUGUAAAUGACAUUUUUCUUCAAAUUUCAUUAUUUAUUUGGAGCUGUCUGGACAGAGCUUUAGAAAUGUGUAAGAUUUGAAUUCUUGAUUUUGUACUUUGCGGUUGCAAGUAAUCAGUGGUUUACAAUUCCAAUAUACUGUACUGUACUGGUAUUUCUUUACACCUGUUCUGUUGAAUAAAUUAUAUUGAAUUUUA
Long non-coding RNA from Pecten maximus, 1176 nucleotides. RefSeq lists it as uncharacterized. The transcript has 3 exons. NCBI's taxonomy places the organism in Eukaryota, Metazoa, Mollusca, Bivalvia, Pectinida, Pectinidae. The record is from RefSeq and is a predicted model, not a curated record.